GAGGUGAUAGCUCAGUGGUAGAGCGGAUGAUUGCAGUUAGCAAGUCUCAUCAGGUCACGUGUUCGACUCACGUUCGCCUCU
This 81-nucleotide transfer RNA is filed under the name Tilletia indica. It matches the Rfam family "tRNA". Rfam says of the family: Transfer RNA (tRNA) molecules are approximately 80 nucleotides in length. Their secondary structure includes four short double-helical elements and three loops (D, anti-codon, and T loops). The record is from Rfam by way of RNAcentral. Lineage: Eukaryota; Fungi; Basidiomycota; Exobasidiomycetes; Tilletiales; Tilletiaceae.